This 90-nucleotide transfer RNA is filed under the name Planctomycetota bacterium. RNAcentral describes it as "Planctomycetes bacterium (activated sludge metagenome) tRNA-Ser". It matches the Rfam family "tRNA". Rfam says of the family: Transfer RNA (tRNA) molecules are approximately 80 nucleotides in length. Lineage: Bacteria; Pseudomonadati; Planctomycetota. The record is from RNAcentral.
GGAGAGAUGCCGGAGCGGUCGAACGGGCCGGUUUCGAAAACCGGUGUAGGGGCAACCCUACCUAGGGUUCAAAUCCCUAUCUCUCCGCCA